UAUGUGAUCGUCUCUCGCAUAUCAAUAAGCGGAGGAAAAGAAACUAACAAGGAUUCCCCUAGUAACGGCGAGUGAAGCGGGAAGAGCUCAAAUUUGAAAUCUUAAAGGGUUUCCCUUUACGAAUUGUAGUUUAAAGAAGUGUUUUCUGUUGAGGUUUUGGUAAAAGUUCUUUGGAAUAGGACAUCAUAGAGGGUGAGAAUCCCGUAUUUGACCUUUACUUUCAACUUUGUGAUACACUUUCAAAGAGUCGGAUUGUUUGGGAAUGCAGUUCAAAAUGGGUGGUAAAUUUCAUCUAAGGCUAAAUAUUGGCGAGAGACCGAUAGCGAACAAGUACCGUGAGGGAAAGAUGAAAAGAACUUUGAAAAGAGAGUUAAACAGUACGUGAAAUUGUCAAAAGGGAAGCGUUUGACACCAGUGUUGUUUUUCUGAAAAUCAAUUAAAGAACUGUUUAUGCUAAGUUGUUUAGACUUUAUCAGCUAACUGUUUAGUUUUGAGCUUUUCUUUAAUGCACUUUUCAGUUAACAAGUCAACAUCAAUUUCUUUUGCUGUAAAAAAGCUUGAGGAAGGUGGCUUGAGAUUCGUCUUAAGUGUUUAUAGCCUCUUGCCUAUGCAGUCGGAGAGAUUGAGGUCUGCAGCGUAGAUCCUUCGGGGCUAAAUGCAUUUGUGCUAAGUUAUAGCAUUUUAUAGACAACUUGUUGACUAUGAUUUGUCUUGUAGCUUACUCGCUUAUGUUAUUUUACCUACGCUUAGGAUGUUGAAGACUCUACAGAGAUA
RNAcentral lists this ribosomal RNA (774 nucleotides) under uncultured Neocallimastigales. Its description in RNAcentral is "partial large subunit ribosomal RNA". It matches the Rfam family "Eukaryotic large subunit ribosomal RNA", at positions 24 to 633 of the family's 3401-position model. Lineage: Eukaryota; Fungi; Neocallimastigomycota; Neocallimastigomycetes; Neocallimastigales. The record is from RNAcentral.